This 76-nucleotide transfer RNA is filed under the name Candidatus Odinarchaeum yellowstonii. Its description in RNAcentral is "tRNA-Val". It matches the Rfam family "tRNA". From Rfam's summary of the family: Transfer RNA (tRNA) molecules are approximately 80 nucleotides in length. Their secondary structure includes four short double-helical elements and three loops (D, anti-codon, and T loops). RNAcentral also lists the same sequence under 1 other name. The record is from RNAcentral. Lineage: Archaea; Promethearchaeati; Candidatus Odinarchaeota; Candidatus Odinarchaeia; Candidatus Odinarchaeales; Candidatus Odinarchaeaceae.
GGGCGGGUGGUCUAGGGGUUAUGAUGCCGCGCUUACAACGCGGAGGUCGAGGGUUCAAGACCCUCCCCGCCCACCA